RNAcentral lists this ribosomal RNA (468 nucleotides) under uncultured bacterium. Its description in RNAcentral is "partial 16S ribosomal RNA". It matches the Rfam family "Bacterial small subunit ribosomal RNA", at positions 28 to 507 of the family's 1533-position model. The record is from RNAcentral.
GACGAACGCUGGCGGUGUGCUUAACACAUGCAAGUCGAACGGUAAGGCCCUUUCGGGGGUACACGAGUGGCGCACGGGUGAGUAACACGUGAGUAACCUGCCCUCAUCUCUGGGAUAACAGUCGGAAACGGUUGCUAAUACUGGAUAUGAGCUUGCAAGGCAUCUUGUGGGUUGGAAAGAUUUUUUUUGGUUGGGGAUGGACUCGCGGCCUAUCAGCUUGUUGGUGAGGUAGUGGCUCACCAAGGCUUCGACGGGUAGCCGGCCUGAGAGGGCGACCGGCCACAUUGGGACUGAGAUACGGCCCAAACUCCUGCGGGAGGCAGCAGUGGGGAAUAUUGCACAAUGGACGGAAGUCUGAUGCAGCAACGCCGCGUGCGGGAUGACGGCCUUCGGGUUGUAAACCGCUUUCAAUUGUGACGAAGCGUUUUUGUGACGGUAGCAGUAGAAGAAGCACCGGCUAACUACGUG